AUUCUACCCAUGUGGGGAAGGAUGAGAAGCUUCGACUAAGGUUCGAUUCGAGCGCAGCGAGAAAGCGUUGCCGCAGGCAACGACCCGAAGGGCGAAGCGCGCAGCGCUGAGUCAUCCUUCCCCCUCAUCCU
RNAcentral lists this small RNA (131 nucleotides) under Salmonella enterica. RNAcentral describes it as "RtT sRNA". It matches the Rfam family "RtT RNA". From Rfam's summary of the family: This family represents a bacterial cis-regulatory element known as RtT RNA. The exact function of RtT is unknown although it is thought that it may be involved in changing the cellular response in relation to amino acid starvation. RNAcentral also lists the same sequence under 1 other name. Lineage: Bacteria; Pseudomonadati; Pseudomonadota; Gammaproteobacteria; Enterobacterales; Enterobacteriaceae. The record is from RNAcentral.